UACGUAGGGUGCAAGCGUUGUCCGGAAUUAUUGGGCGUAAAGAGCUCGUAGGCGGUUUGUCGCGUCUGCUGUGAAAACUGGAGGCUCAACCUCCAGCCUGCAGUGGGUACGGGCAGACUAGAGUGCGGUAGGGGAGAUUGGAAUUCCUGGUGUAGCGGUGGAAUGCGCAGAUAUCAGGAGGAACACCGGUGGCGAAGGCGGGAUCCUGGGCCAGUACUGACGCUGAGGAGCGAAAGCGUGGGGAGCAAACAGG
Molecule: ribosomal RNA, 253 nt
Filed under: uncultured bacterium
Lineage: Bacteria
Description: partial 16S ribosomal RNA
Rfam family: Bacterial small subunit ribosomal RNA
Source: RNAcentral